Cornus florida is the source of this 154-nucleotide long non-coding RNA. RefSeq lists it as uncharacterized. The record is from RefSeq and is a predicted model, not a curated record. The transcript has 3 exons. Lineage: Eukaryota; Viridiplantae; Streptophyta; Magnoliopsida; Cornales; Cornaceae.
UAGGGCAAGUUUCAGACGGCACAAUCUGCUUCGACACUCCAAGGGCGCUGCCUCCUCAGGUGACAAGGGCCUCACAUUUGAAAGUUCACCAAGGGCCUCUCAAAAUAUUUUGAAUCUCAGGGCCGGCCCUAAUCUCCGGUGGAUGAAUAUGGAA